This 323-nucleotide ribosomal RNA is filed under the name uncultured eukaryote. RNAcentral's name for it is "partial 18S ribosomal RNA". It matches the Rfam family "Eukaryotic small subunit ribosomal RNA", at positions 1470 to 1796 of the family's 1831-position model. The record is from RNAcentral.
CCCUUAGAUGUUCUGGGCUGCACGCGUGCUACACUGAUAUUGCCAAUAUGCCAUUCUUAUCCGAAAUGGAUUGGGUAAUCAAGUAAUGAAAUUUCAUGCUUGGAAUCGGUAAUUGCAAUUUUAUCGUGAACGAGGAAUUCCUAGUAAGCACUAGUCAUCAGCUAAUGUUGAUUAUGUCCCUGCCCUUUGUACACACCGCCCGUCGCUACUACUGAUUGGGUGUUCAAGUGAGAUGCUUAGACCCUUGUUGCAUGGUUCAUUAUUGUGCUCCGAAAGGAAAAAGUUUCAAGCUUGAGUGUCUAGAGGAAGUAAAAGUCGUAACA